This 468-nucleotide ribosomal RNA is filed under the name uncultured bacterium. RNAcentral describes it as "partial 16S ribosomal RNA". It matches the Rfam family "Bacterial small subunit ribosomal RNA", at positions 28 to 507 of the family's 1533-position model. The record is from RNAcentral.
GACGAACGCUGGCGGCGUGCUUAACACAUGCCAGUCGAACGGAAAGGCCCUGCUUUUGUGGGGUGCUCGAGUGGCGAACGGGUGAGUAACACGUGAGUAACCUGCCCCUGACUUUGGGAUAACUUCAGGAAACUGGGGCUAAUACCGGAUAGGAGCUCCUGCUGCAUGGUGGGGGUUGGAAAGUUUCGGCGGUUGGGGAUGGACUCGCGGCUUAUCAGCUUGUUGGUGAGGUAGUGGCUUACCAAGGCUUUGACGGGUAGCCGGCCUGAGAGGGUGACCGGCCACAUUGGGACUGAGAUACGGCCCAGACUCCUACGGGAGGCAGCAGUGGGGAAUAUUGCACAAUGGGCGGAAGCCUGAUGCAGCAACGCCGCGUGCGGGAUGACGGCCUUCGGGUUGUAAACCGCUUUCGCCUGUGACGAAGCGUGAGUGACGGUAAUGGGUAAAGAAGCACCGGCUAACUACGUG